Molecule: ribosomal RNA, 115 nt
Filed under: Shigella sonnei
Lineage: Bacteria; Pseudomonadati; Pseudomonadota; Gammaproteobacteria; Enterobacterales; Enterobacteriaceae
Source: RNAcentral
UGGCGGCAGUAGCGCGGUGGUCCCACCUGCCCCCAUGCCGAACUCAGAAGUGAAACGCCGUAGCGCCGAUGGUAGUGUGGGGUCUCCCCAUGCGAGAGUAGGGAACUGCCAGACA